CUACGUAGCUCAGAGUUUGAUCCUGGCUCAGGAUGAACGCUGGCGGCGUGCUUAACACAUGCAAGUCGAACGAUGAAGCCCAGCUUGCUGGGUGGAUUAGUGGCGAACGGGUGAGUAACACGUGAGUAACCUGCCCUUAACUCUGGGAUAAGCCUGGGAAACUGGGUCUAAUACCGGAUAGGAGCGUCCACCGCAUGGUGGGUGUUGGAAAGAUUUAUCGGUUUUGGAUGGACUCGCGGCCUAUCAGCUUGUUGGUGAGGUAAUGGCUCACCAAGGCGACGACGGGUAGCCGGCCUGAGAGGGUGACCGGCCACACUGGGACUGAGACACGGCCCAG
RNAcentral lists this ribosomal RNA (337 nucleotides) under uncultured bacterium. RNAcentral's name for it is "bacterial SSU rRNA". It matches the Rfam family "Bacterial small subunit ribosomal RNA", at positions 1 to 334 of the family's 1533-position model. The record is from RNAcentral.